RNAcentral lists this ribosomal RNA (253 nucleotides) under uncultured bacterium. Its description in RNAcentral is "partial 16S ribosomal RNA". It matches the Rfam family "Bacterial small subunit ribosomal RNA", at positions 524 to 776 of the family's 1533-position model. The record is from RNAcentral.
UACGUAGGGUGCGAGCGUUGUCCGGAAUUAUUGGGCGUAAAGAGCUUGUAGGCGGUCUGUCGCGUCUGCUGUGAAAAUCCGGGGCUUAACCCCGAGCCUGCAGUGGAUACGGGCAGACUAGAGGUAGGUAGGGGAGAAUGGAAUUCCCGGUGUAGCGGUGAAAUGCGCAGAUAUCGGGAGGAACACCGGUGGCGAAGGCGGUUCUCUGGGCCUUACCUGACGCUGAGGAGCGAAAGCGUGGGGAGCAAACAGG